This 2394-nucleotide ribosomal RNA is filed under the name metagenome. Its description in RNAcentral is "bacterial LSU rRNA". It matches the Rfam family "Bacterial large subunit ribosomal RNA", at positions 14 to 2450 of the family's 2925-position model. The record is from RNAcentral.
AGGGCGUAUGGUGGAUGCCUAGGCUAACAGAGGCGAAGAAGGACGUGUUAGGCUGCGAAAAGCCACGGUGAGCUGCCAAAAAGCUUUGACCCGUGGAUGUCCGAAUGGGGAAACCCGGCUAGUGGAGACAUUAGUCACUCCGAAAGGAGAGCGAACCUGGUGAAGUGAAACAUCUCAGUAACCAGAGGAAAAGAAAUCAACCGAGAUUCCGAAAGUAGCGGCGAGCGAAAUCGGAAUAGCCCGAGACUAUGUAGCACAUAAUAUAACUUAAUUAUCUGGGAAGAUAAACCACAGAAGGUGAUAGUCCUGUGAGUGAAAUAUUAUGUGUGGGACUAAGUAGUCUCCUAGUGAGUAAGUCGGAACACGUGAAAUUCUGACUGAAUAUGGGAGGACCACCUUCCAAGGCUAAAUACUACUGUUAGACCGAUAGUGAACCAGUACCGUGAGGGAAAGGUGAAAAGAACCCCAGUGAGGGGAGUGAAAUAGAACCUGAAACCAUAUGCCUACAAUCAUUCAGAGCCGUAUUGUUUAUCAACGGUGAUGGACUGCCUUUUGCAUAAUGAGCCUGCGAGUUAUGAUAUCUGGCGAGGUUAAGUGAAUACGAAGCCGAAGCGAAAGCGAGUCUGAAUAGGGCGAAUAGUCAGAUGUUGUAGACCCGAAGCUGAGUGAUCUAUCCAUGAGCAGGUUGAAGCGGGUGUAAAAGCCCGUGGAGGACCGAACCGGUAAGUGUUGAAAAACUUUCGGAUGACUUGUGGAUAGGGGUGAAAGGCCAAUCAAACUCAGUGAUAGCUGGUUCUCUCCGAAAUGCAUUUAGGUGCAGCGUCAAGACGUAGCCAUAGGGGGUAGAGCACUGAUAGGGCUAGGGCGGCCUACAGCUGUACCAACCCCUGUCAAACUUCGAAUACCUAUGGUGGAAUCUUGGCAGUGAGGCGUAGGGUGAUAAAAUCCUAUGUCGAGAGGGGAACAACCCAGACUACCGACUAAGGUCCCAAAGUGAUAACUAAGUGGAAAAGGAGGUUUUCCUGCUUAGACAACCAGGAGGUUGGCUUAGAAGCAGCCAUCCUUUAAAGAAAGCGUAACAGCUCACUGGUCGAGCGGGGAAGCGCCGAAAAUAUAACGGGGCUAAAGUUAUCCACCGAAGUCGUAGAUAGAUACCUGGAGUAUCUGUGGUAGGAGAGCGUUGAUAUCAGCGAUGAAGCUAUACCGGUAAGGAGUAGUGGAGCGUUAUCAAGUGAGCAUGCAGGCAUGAGUAGCGAUAAAAGGAGUGAGAAUCUCCUUCGUCGAAAACCCAAGGAUUCCUACACUAUGCUCGUCAGUGUAGGGUUAGUCGGGACCUAAGGUGAGGCCGAAAGGCGUAAUCGAUGGAAAACUGGUUAAUAUUCCAGUACCCACUAAUAAUGAGGUGAUGAGAGGACGCAUAGAGCUAAGUACAGUAGUCUGAUGGAAUAGAUUACCGAAGGGAGCAGUUGGUAUAGUAGGCAAAUCCGCUAUACAAUACAACGAUACCUGAUAGGCUUUCAAUCAUCUUCGGAAGAGAGAAAGUGUGUAUGAUGCUGUCGUGCCAAGAAAAGUCUCUAAACUGUUUGAAUUAUUAGUGGCCCGUACCGUAAACCGACACAGGUGGGUGAGAUGAGUAUUCUAAGACGCGUGGAAGAACCCUGGUUAAGGAACUCUGCAAACUAGCACCGUAUCUUCGGUAUAAGGUGUGCCUCCUCACGGAGGUCGCAGUGAAAAGUCCCUGCCGACUGUUUAGCAAAAACACAGCACUCUGCUAACUCGCAAGAGGAUGUAUAGGGUGUGACGCCUGCCCGGUGCUGGAAGGUUAAAAGGAUCUGUUAGAGCAAUCGAAGCAGUGAAUUGAAGCCCCAGUAAACGGCGGCCGUAACUAUAACGGUCCUAAGGUAGCGAAAUUCCUUGUCGGUUAAAUACCGACCUGCAUGAAUGGCGUAACGAGUUGGGAGCUGUCUCGACCAGGGAUCCAGUGAAAUUGUAGUGGAGGUGAAAAUUCCUCCUACCCGCGGCAAGACGGAAAGACCCCGUGGACCUUUACUAUAGCUUGACAUUGCAAUCGGGAUAUUUAUGUGCAGGAUAGGUGGGAGGCUUUGACGGUAGGACGCCAGUUCUACCUGAGCCACCCUUGAGAUACCACCCUUAAAUAUUCUGGUUGCUAACUCGCUUGUUUACAGCAAGGAGGACAUUGUCUGGUGGGUAGUUUGACUGGGGCGGUCGCCUCCUAAAGAGUAACGGAGGCUUACAAAGGUUGGCUCAAACCGGAUGGAAAUCGGUUGUAGAGUAUAAAGGCAUAAGCCAGCCUGACUGCGAGAGAGACAUUUCGAGCAGAGACGAAAGUCGGUCAUAGUGAUCCGGUGGUUCUGAGUGGAAGGACCAUCGCUC